RNAcentral lists this ribosomal RNA (433 nucleotides) under uncultured bacterium. RNAcentral describes it as "partial 16S ribosomal RNA". It matches the Rfam family "Bacterial small subunit ribosomal RNA", at positions 29 to 507 of the family's 1533-position model. The record is from RNAcentral.
AACGAACGCUGGCGGCAGGCCUAACACAUGCAAGUCGAGCGGACCCUUCGGGGUUAGCGGCGGACGGGUGAGUAACGCGUGGGAAUAUGCCCUUCUCUACGGAAUAGUCCUGGGAAACUGGGGGUAAUACCGUAUACGCCCUUUGGGGGAAAGAUUUAUCGGGGAAGGAUUAGCCCGCGUUGGAUUAGGUAGUUGGUGGGGUAAUGGCCUACCAAGACGACGAUCCAUAGCUGGUUUGAGAGGAUGAUCAGCCACACUGGGACUGAGACACGGCCCAGACUCCUACGGGAGGCAGCAGUGGGGAAUCUUAGACAAUGGGGGCAACCCUGAUCUAGCCAUGCCGCGUGAGUGAUGAAGGCCUUAGGGUUGUAAAGCUCUUUCAGCUGGGAAGAUAAUGACGGUACCAGCAGAAGAAGCCCCGGCUAACUCCGUG